CUUAGGCGUGUGACUGCGUACCUUUUGUAUAAUGGGUCAGCGACUUAUAUUCUGUAGCAAGGUUAACCGAAUAGGGGAGCCGAAGGGAAACCGAGUCUUAACUGGGCGUUAAGUUGCAGGGUAUAGACCCGAAACCCGGUGAUCUAGCCAUGGGCAGGUUGAAGGUUGGGUAACACUAACUGGAGGACCGAACCGACUAAUGUUGAAAAAUUAGCGGAUGACUUGUGGCUGGGGGUGAAAGGCCAAUCAAACCGGGAGAUAGCUGGUUCUCCCCGAAAGCUAUUUAGGUAGCGCCUCGUGAAUUCAUCUCCGGGGGUAGAGCACUGUUUCGGCAAGGGGGUCAUCCCGACUUACCAACCCGAUGCAAACUGCGAAUACCGGAGAAUGUUAUCACGGGAGACACACGGCGGGUGCUAACGUCCGUCGUGAAGAGGGAAACAACCCAGACCGCCAGCUAAGGUCCCAAAGUCAUGGUUAAGUGG
RNAcentral lists this ribosomal RNA (482 nucleotides) under Escherichia coli. Its description in RNAcentral is "partial 23S ribosomal RNA". It matches the Rfam family "Bacterial large subunit ribosomal RNA", at positions 584 to 1066 of the family's 2925-position model. Lineage: Bacteria; Pseudomonadati; Pseudomonadota; Gammaproteobacteria; Enterobacterales; Enterobacteriaceae. The record is from RNAcentral.